GGUCUUGCUGUAUUGCCCAAGGCUGGAGGACAGUGAUGCAAUCAUGGCUCCCUGCAGCCUUGAUCUUCUGAGCUCAGUCCCUGCUUUGAUAACCACAGGCAGCUACGGGAAAGAGUGGGAAAAGUGAGAUAGUCCCAAGAAACAGGCAACAGCAGGGUCUCUUCGAUCAGAAAUUUGGGAGACAAGGAAGGGCUGUUUUGCUGCAAUUCACUUGAUGUCAAAGCAGGAAAGACCUCGGACAAAGCUUCAAGUCUAACCUUUUUUGUUCUCGGGUGAGUAAACCAAGACCAGAGGAUGAGUCUUGCCCAGAAGAGUUUCUAACCAUUCUUCCCCCAGGUAUUUGUUUCCCGGUGAAAUUUGCUUAAAGUUGGAAUUGGCUGAGUGUGGGCCAGAGCUAUGGGCAUUGUUGUGAACACUUGCUUUUAACUGCCCAGUAUCUACUUGCUCUUUAUCUGUAACAGCUCCCUGAUUUUUCCCUGGCACCAUCCCUCUUCUGAUCCCCAGGAAAUGGCUCCAGGUAUGGGCAUGUGGUUCAUGACCACAGUGGUUGGCUCAGAGAUGGCCAUAUGAUGCAAUCCAGGCCAAUGCAUGUCAACCACAGAGCUCUUAGGAACUACUGGUACCCACUGGAGCUGCUGGGCUGGUUAGAUACAAGCCUGGGGCUGCUGAGAGCCAUUUUUGCUAUGACUUGGGGAGCUGCCUGCGAGGAUGCCAACACAAAGGAAAAAAGGUCCAGGUGAUGGAGGAAAACAGAAACCUUAGAACAUAAUUUGAGCAACUUGAUUCAGCUGAGCCUGAAGGCGUGUACCCCUGGGCUUUUCAGUUACAUAAGCCAAUCAGUCCCUUCUGCCUUCCUCUUUUUUUGCUACGAUCAGUUAGAAUCAAGAUUCUGGAUUCAUCCAGGCAUGGUAGGUGAAGGUGUUGGGUAAGCAAAGGCCCAGAAGCAGGAAAAUGCAGAACAAGUUCUGGGAUUUCCAAUGAAUAACCUGCAGUGGGAAGAGGCCAGUAAACUCACUUAAAGCCAGAACCUGGGGAGCUUUGAAUGCCUUGCUAAGUCACUUUGACUUUAUCCUAAGGGUAACAGGGAGCCAUGGGAAAGGACCUGCCAGAGUUGGCAAUGGUGUGGGGCAGUGGGAGUGAGGAUUAUUCUGGAUAUUAAGUCUGGUUCAGGGUUCUCCUGGGAUCCAACUCCAGCCCAGAGUGCAUGCAGUGGUGAGAGAGGGUGUCUUCCCUCAGCACCCGCAGCUUCCAGUCCCUCCUGACUGUCUUAUAAUAACAGUGUUUUCAAUGCAGACCUUCUGGGUUCCCUGCCGCGAAUCACUCAGCCACCCUUCCAGGGAGAAAACAAAAAGCAGUGUUUUUCCGUGUCUAUUUUAGGCUGCUGCCUACAUCUUUGUUCUUCGUGAGGAACACACACUCCCGGGGGGCCCUUUUCUCAGCUGUGGCCCAGCAGUCGGGUCUGGACCACCAGGCUGGGUUCCGUUAUGGGAAAGAACCAGCAGAUGUAAUGGAAUCAUGCCAAUUAGGCCAGGAGCUGCGUGGGGAUGAUGUUAUCAUUAAGUUCCAGAAGACGUGGAGGUGAGGGGGAAGGUAGCUCAUUCCCGUCCACAUGGCUAUCCCAGACGGACUGCCUUUUUUGAUCUGUCCCCUUCGACUAUCCUGAGCAGCUAGGAAGAGCCCACCCUUGCUAUCCCCUGAGGGACAGAAUUUAGAAGUCUGCAUUGUAUGAGACACUUGUGCUCAUUUUACUGUUGGGCUGAAAGCAGAAGUAGAAAUUCUAUGGCAAAUGGGUGGAUCCAGCCCACCCAUUUUACAGAUGGUAAAACUGAGGCCUGAAGAGGAAGCAUAGUUUGUUCAGGUUUAUAGAACAUUUGGUGGCAAUCUAUGACCAAAAAGACCAGAACAUAAAAUCUCAGAGGGCAUGUACCUUAUCUGUCUUGGUCAACAUCGUGUCCCAUCACAAAACAUAGUACAUGGCAAAUAAUAGGCCCUUGAUAUACAUUGGAUGAAUGAACAACAUCUCUACUGCUGUUUUCAGCUUUCACAAAGAAUUCUCUCACACAUUCCCUCAUUUCAACGUCAUGAUUGUCUUUGUAGCCAAGAAUUGCUUUUGUCCUUAUUUUGCAGGUGAGGAAAUGGAAGUUAAGAGAGGCUUAGUUGCCUAUCCGAGAUCACACAGCCUAGGUAGAGACUGAAUUUGAAUCCAUGUCAUCUUGAUGCAGGCUGGGGCAUCACUUAAAUUUUGGUAGAGGAAGAGACCUUGGAAAUGUCCAGCUGGGAGGUAAAAGCCUUGGUCUACAAGGACAACUCUGACUUUAAUUAUACUACAACAUUUGGAGUGAGGGGAACAAGAAAGCAGGUCCUCAAAAAUGUUCAAAAGAGUUACCAUAUGACCUAGCAAGUCCACUUCUAGGUAUACAUCCAAGAGAAUUGAAAACCUAUGUCUGUGCAAAAAAUUAUACAUUCAUAGCAGCUUUAUUCAUAAUAACCAAAAAGUAGAGACACCCCAAAUGUUCAUCAACUGAUGAAAGAUAAAUAAAAUGUGGCCUAUCCAUACAAUAAAGUAGUAUUCAUCCAUAAAAAGGAACAAAAACGGAUACAAGCUGCACUGUGGGCGAGCCUUGAAAACAUUUUGCUAAGUGAAAGAAGUUAGUCACAAAAGGCCCCAUAUUGUAUGAUUCCAUUUAUGAGAAAUGUCCAGAAUAGGUACACCUAACGAGACAGAAAGUAUAGAUUACUGGUUGCCAGGAGAUGAGGGGAGGAAGGAAUGGGGGGUGACUGUUAAUGGGUACAGGGUUUCUUUUUGGGGUGAUUAGAAUGUUCUAAAAUUAGAUGUGAUGAUGGCUUCACAACUUUUUGAAUAUGCUAAAAACUAUUGAAUUAUACAUUUUAAAUGGGUGAAUUUUAUGGCAUUUGAAUUAUACCCCAAUCAAACCCUUAAAAAAAAUACCAAGAGGAGCAUUUCCAUGGCAAGGGAGUUUUAGAAGGGGGAACAUACAAAUGAGGAAGGGUCCCCAGCAUGGACAGCUCCAUGCUGUCUUCUUGGAUGUCCCAGGAAGAAUUUCAAGAAAGUAUUUCAACCCCCAGCUCCAAGGAUUCACCUGAGGGCUUGUUCCUAUGGAGUUGAGAAUCUGUAGGAUACCUCCUCCAGGUAACUCUCCCAGAUAUCCCAACCACAGACAAGAAAAUGAACUCAUGAUAACUGGGCACCACUCAGUGCCCUGGUGCUCUGCUUGUGAUAUCUCACUGAAGCCAUGCAACAACCUUGCUGAAUGUGAGGUAGUACCAUCACCCUUGUUAUCCAGGUGAAGAAAUGGAAGCUCACAGAGAUAAAAUGACUUGUCUGGGGUCACACAGCUUUUGGCUCUCUCAGCUACAUCAUAGUGCGUGGGACACACCCAGAGUAAGGCCUGAGGCCACUUUCCGAGGGAACCCAAGCAAGUUCCUUGACACUGUGGGCCUUAGUUUCCCCAUCUGUUCCAUUAAAUCCCAGCUUACUCCUUCAUUGUCCUGGUGGGGGCUUCAGCCAGAGCAUCACCACCUGCCUCUGAUAUAAUGGUGCUUCACAUUUCAUCAGAUUUCAUGUGAACAAAGCCAAACAUCUUUUCUCAGUGCCUCACCUGCCCAGGGAUCCUAGUCCACAUCUAUGCUGUUUUUCUCCACUCUGUCCUUCCAGUGCUUGGCACGCUGUGCCACUUCUCAAAAAACCCUGAUGUUGCCUGCCAUUGGGUUCAAGGCAGAUGAUGUGAUUUCACAGGCUUUCUUCUUCAGCACUAAAUAAGGUGCUUUUGUGGGGCCCUUCCUUUACUUCUGAUGCUUUAGGUUCAACUUUGGAGUUUGUAGACUUGCAGAGAAUUUUCCAUCAAAGCGUACAGGCAGAGAUGCAAACACACACCCUUUUAUAUCUCCAUCCAUCCAUCCAUUCAUUCACCCAUCAAUCCAUUUACUCAUCCAUCCAU
Molecule: long non-coding RNA, 3959 nt
Filed under: Homo sapiens (human)
Lineage: Eukaryota; Metazoa; Chordata; Mammalia; Primates; Hominidae
Description: HSALNT0401550
Source: RNAcentral